UGGGGAAUAUUGCACAAUGGGCGAAAGCCUGAUGCAGCGACGCCGCGUGAGGGAUGACGGCCUUCGGGUCGUAAACCUCUUUCAGCAGGGACGGAGCGCAAGUGACGGUACCUGCAGAAGAAGCACCGGCCAACUACGUGCCAGCAGCCGCGGUAAUACGUAGGGUGCAAGCGUUGUCCGGAAUUAUUGGGCGUAAAGAGCACGUAGGCGGCUAGUCGCGUCGGCUGUGAAAACCUGGGGCUCAACCCCGGGCCUGCAGACGAUACGGGCUAGCUAGAAUUCGGUAGGGGAGACUGGAAUUCCUGGUGUAGCGGUGAAAUGCGCAGAUAUCAGGAGGAACACCGGUGGCGAAGGCGGGUCUCUGGGCCGAUAUUGACGCUGAGGAGCGAAAGCGUGGGGAGCGAAC
Molecule: ribosomal RNA, 406 nt
Filed under: uncultured bacterium
Lineage: Bacteria
Description: bacterial SSU rRNA
Rfam family: Bacterial small subunit ribosomal RNA
Source: RNAcentral